RNAcentral lists this transfer RNA (83 nucleotides) under Phlebopus sp. FC_14. It matches the Rfam family "tRNA". From Rfam's summary of the family: Transfer RNA (tRNA) molecules are approximately 80 nucleotides in length. Their secondary structure includes four short double-helical elements and three loops (D, anti-codon, and T loops). Lineage: Eukaryota; Fungi; Basidiomycota; Agaricomycetes; Boletales; Boletinellaceae. The record is from Rfam by way of RNAcentral.
GCCGGGAUAGCUCAGCUGGGAGAGCAACAGACUGAAGAUGCGCUGACUUCUGGAGGUCCCGUGUUCAAUCCACGGUCCUGGCA